CCCCCCCGACGGAACCCACCUUGCCGUGGUGGGGGGGCUCACAGGCCAAAUGGCCCGUGCUAAGAGGUUC
This 70-nucleotide non-coding RNA is filed under the name Acyrthosiphon pisum (pea aphid). The record is from RNAcentral. Lineage: Eukaryota; Metazoa; Arthropoda; Insecta; Hemiptera; Aphididae.